UACGAAGGGGGCUAGCGUUGCUCGGAAUUACUGGGCGUAAAGCGCACGUAGGUGGUCUUUUAAGUCGGGGGUGAAAUCCUGGAGCUCAACUCCAGAACUGCCUUCGAUACUGGAGACUUGAGUCCGGGAGAGGUGAGUGGAACUGCGAGUGUAGAGGUGAAAUUCGUAGAUAUUCGCAAGAACACCAGUGGCGAAGGCGGCUCACUGGCCCGGUACUGACGCUGAGGUGCGAAAGCGUGGGGAGCAAACAGG
RNAcentral lists this ribosomal RNA (252 nucleotides) under uncultured bacterium. Its description in RNAcentral is "partial 16S ribosomal RNA". It matches the Rfam family "Bacterial small subunit ribosomal RNA", at positions 524 to 776 of the family's 1533-position model. The record is from RNAcentral.